Molecule: ribosomal RNA, 2250 nt
Filed under: Campylobacter coli
Lineage: Bacteria; Pseudomonadati; Campylobacterota; Epsilonproteobacteria; Campylobacterales; Campylobacteraceae
Description: partial 23S ribosomal RNA
Rfam family: Bacterial large subunit ribosomal RNA
Source: RNAcentral
AAAAAAGGUAAGCUACUAAGAGCGAAUGGUGGAUGCCUUGACUGGUAAAGGCGAUGAAGGACGUACUAGACUGCGAUAAGCUACGGGGAGCUGUCAAGAAGCUUUGAUCCGUAGAUUUCCGAAUGGGGCAACCCAAUGUAUAGAGAUAUACAUUACCUAUAUAGGAGCGAACGAGGGGAAUUGAAACAUCUUAGUACCCUCAGGAAAAGAAAUCAAUAGAGAUUGCGUCAGUAGCGGCGAGCGAAAGCGCAAGAGGGCAAACCCAGUGCUUGCACUGGGGGUUGUAGGACUGCAAUGUGCAAGAGGUGAGUUUAGCAGAACAUUCUGGAAAGUAUAGCCAUAGAGGGUGAUAGUCCCGUAUGCGAAAAACAAACCUUAGCUAGCAGUAUCCUGAGUAGGGCGGGACACGAGAAAUCCUGUCUGAAGCUGGGUCGACCACGAUCCAACCCUAAAUACUAAUACCAGAUCGAUAGUGCACAAGUACCGUGAGGGAAAGGUGAAAAGAACUGAGGUGAUCAGAGUGAAAUAGAACCUGAAACCAUUUGCUUACAAUCAUUCAGAGCCCUAUGUAGCAAUACAGGGUGAUGGACUGCCUUUUGCAUAAUGAGCCUGCGAGUUGUGGUGUCUGGCAAGGUUAAGCAAACGCGAAGCCGUAGCGAAAGCGAGUCUGAAUAGGGCGCUUAGUCAGAUGCUGCAGACCCGAAACGAAGUGAUCUAUCCAUGAGCAAGUUGAAGCUAGUGUAAGAACUAGUGGAGGACUGAACCCAUAGGCGUUGAAAAGCCCCGGGAUGACUUGUGGAUAGGGGUGAAAGGCCAAUCAAACUUCGUGAUAGCUGGUUCUCUCCGAAAUAUAUUUAGGUAUAGCGUUGUGUCGUAAUAUAAGGGGGUAGAGCACUGAAUGGGCUAGGGCAUACACCAAUGUACCAAACCCUAUCAAACUCCGAAUACCUUAUAUGUAAUCACAGCAGUCAGGCGGUGAGUGAUAAAAUCCGUCGUCAAGAGGGAAACAACCCAGACUACCAGCUAAGGUCCCUAAAUCUUACUUAAGUGGAAAACGAUGUGAAGUUACUUAAACAACCAGGAGGUUGGCUUAGAAGCAGCCAUCCUUUAAAGAAAGCGUAAUAGCUCACUGGUCUAGUGAUUUUGCGCGGAAAAUAUAACGGGGCUAAAGUAAGUACCGAAGCUGUAGACUUGCGCACAACUUAGAUUAUUUAAGUUUAGAAUAUGAGAAACUAAGUUAUAUGUUUAGUUAUAUUUUUACUGAUUUUUAUAGAGUAAAGAUAGAAAUAAAACUUAGUAAAAUCAGUAAAAAUAUUCUUAGACUAAAGUUAAGUAGUUUAAGUUGUGUGCAAGUGGUAGGAGAGCGUUCUAUUUGCGUCGAAGGUAUACCGGUAAGGAGUGCUGGAGCGAAUAGAAGUGAGCAUGCAGGCAUGAGUAGCGAUAAUUAAUGUGAGAAUCAUUAACGCCGUAAACCCAAGGUUUCCUACGCGAUGCUCGUCAUCGUAGGGUUAGUCGGGUCCUAAGUCGAGUCCGAAAGGGGUAGACGAUGGCAAAUUGGUUAAUAUUCCAAUACCAACAUUAGUGUGCGAUGGAAGGACGCUUAGGGCUAAGGGGGCUAGCGGAUGGAAGUGCUAGUCUAAGGUCGUAGGAGGUUAUACAGGCAAAUCCGUAUAACAAUACUCCGAGAACUGAAAGGCUUUUUGAAGUCUUCGGAUGGAUAGAAGAACCCCUGAUGCCGUCGAGCCAAGAAAAGUUUCUAAGUUUAGCUAAUGUUGCCCGUACCGUAAACCGACACAGGUGGGUGGGAUGAGUAUUCUAAGGCGCGUGGAAGAACUCUCUUUAAGGAACUCUGCAAAAUAGCACCGUAUCUUCGGUAUAAGGUGUGGUUCGCUUCGUAUUAGGAUUUACUCCGAAAGCGAAGAAACUUACAACAAAGAGUCCCUCCCGACUGUUUACCAAAAACACAGCACUCUGCUAACUCGUAAGAGGAUGUAUAGGGUGUGACGCCUGCCCGGUGCUCGAAGGUUAAUUGAUGGGGUUAGCAUUAGCGAAGCUCUUGAUCGAAGCCCGAGUAAACGGCGGCCGUAACUAUAACGGUCCUAAGGUAGCGAAAUUCCUUGUCGGUUAAAUACCGACCUGCAUGAAUGGCGUAACGAGAUGGGAGCUGUCUCAAAGAGGGAUCCAGUGAAAUUGUAGUGGAGGUGAAAAUUCCUCCUACCCGCGGCAAGACGGAAAGACCCCGUGGACCUU